RNAcentral lists this long non-coding RNA (1570 nucleotides) under Cavia porcellus (domestic guinea pig). RNAcentral's name for it is "lncRNA (ENSCPOG00000035358.1)". The record is from RNAcentral. Lineage: Eukaryota; Metazoa; Chordata; Mammalia; Rodentia; Caviidae.
AAAAAAAAAAAGGUUAAAAAAAGGGAAGCAAAUUAGCUUGCAAAGGAAAUCUAAAUCUGAGAAUAGUAUUCCUGCUGUGUAUAUAGUUUUCCUGCUGAUGGAGGCAUUAAAUGCCAGGCUGAUAUCAGUGUGUGGAUUUGGGGAUUCUGAUGACAAAGCUGUUUCUGCCUUCUGGUUUUACCUUCUUGACCCCCGGGGCUUCACCGUGGUCACCUACUUUACCUAUCUCAUAUAUCAAAAUCAUCUGUCGGGAAACAAUCUGUAAAUCUUUCACAACAGGCACAAAUGGAAAAUCUCAUGAAUAUUUAUAUUUUGUCUAGAAUAAAUGCUUUGAGACAAUGAAGUACAAUGGUGAAAUUUCUGCAUGAGGUAAGCAAAAAAGACUUGGGAAGUAGGCAUGUAUGUGGCAUCUAUGUCUUGCAUCAGUUGGUGAUUGCCUCUCCUUUGUUUUCCCAUACAGUGGGUGUUUCUUUGAUUCAAAAACUUGUUCUGACACUUUGCUAAGCCUGAAGCAUGUAUUUUGCUUCUAUAUCCUCUGUGGACCAGCCUCUUAUUCAUGUCUUCUGCCUACAGCUGUCAAGAAGGCAUGGCUCCUUCAGUGAGAUGUACACAGACAUGCCGAGAUAGAAUGGGAUGAUGCAUCUAGGGCAAACCUGUCUUGGGGCUGUGCCUGCCCCGGAGCACCUCUCUGGUUCCUGGGAUGCUAAGACUUGGUGGAGUUGUGUAAUCAACAGAGGACAGAUUAUGAAUCUAAAGCCAAGCUACCUUCAAAAGUAUGGUUCCAGCAAACCUUUCAUUAUCUCCUUACAUUGCUCAUGCCUCGUGUCUUUCUAAUUCCUAACCAAAAUCUGAUUCAGAACCAAAUUCUUUCUCAUACAUUCAAGAUAUUGCUAUGUUGUUCCACGACUUGGGUACUUCCUGUCAUCUGUCAAAUCCACUCUAAAUUCUCAGAAUGGCACUGAAUUACUCAAGGUGACAUUAAAGAAAUGGGGAACAAAUCUAUUAUUCAUUAGAAGCAUGAUUUGUGUAGUCUUCUGGGACAGUUAGGGGCUUCAAAGUGAUUUCUGCUGAAACCUGUGUCUCUUUACUUAAACCUACAGAAUGCAGUAUGUAACUAAAAGUAGAACAAAGCUUGACCUUCAUUUGAUAAAACUCCAGGUCAUGUCUUUCUCAGAUCUGCAUAGCAUGUUAGUCAUUUCGGAAAUGUCUGUGCAAAAGUUGGUGAAGCAAGUUUUAUUAGGCCUAAACUGAUCCAGUGAACCUCAUCAGUGAUCAACACCGAGAACACCAAGAGGAGAGAUUUAUGGGAACACUCAGCAAUGCGCAGGAAUUUCCACUGACCUAAAUUUAUGGUUGCUUAGUUUCCAACAGAGCCUCACAUGACUCUCAAAUCACGAAUACUCAUCUUAUGGGAACCAAAGUACCUCUCAAGUCAUGGGACCUUGUCUAGGGCUAUGAAAUCAGGACUGAGAUAAUAAUCAGCUGGAAUCUAGCCCACUCCAGCAUCCCAUAAAGCUGGUGUCUGUUCUUUUGUGAACAGGCCACUCUGCUCCACCUCCUCAGAACUGGG